Molecule: transfer RNA, 73 nt
Filed under: Dipodomys ordii (Ord's kangaroo rat)
Lineage: Eukaryota; Metazoa; Chordata; Mammalia; Rodentia; Heteromyidae
Rfam family: tRNA
About the family: Transfer RNA (tRNA) molecules are approximately 80 nucleotides in length. Their secondary structure includes four short double-helical elements and three loops (D, anti-codon, and T loops).
Source: Rfam by way of RNAcentral
GGGGGUACAGUUCAAGAGGUAGAACAUCUGGCUAGCAACCUGGAGAGUCUGAGUUCAAACCUUAGUACUACAA